AACGAACGCUGGCGGCAUGCCUAACACAUGCAAGUCGAACGAGACCUUCGGGUCUAGUGUCGCACGGGUGCGUAACGCGUGGGAACCUGCCCUUAUGUUCGGAAUAACUCCCCGAAAGAGGUGCUAAUACCGGAUAAUGUCUCCGGACCAAAGAUUUAUCGCCUUUGGAUGGGCCCGCGUUGGAUUAGCUAGUUGGUAGGGUAAAAGCCUACCAAGGCGACGAUCCAUAGCUGGUCUGAGAGGAUGAUCAGCCACACUGGGACUGAGACACGGCCCAGACUCCUACGGGAGGCAGCAGUGGGGAAUAUUGGACAAUGGGCGAAAGCCUGAUCCAGCAAUGCCGCGUGAGUGAUGAAGGCCUUAGGGUUGUAAAGCUCUUUUACCCGGGAUGAUAAUGACAGUACCGGGAGAAUAAGCUCCGGCUAACUCCGUG
This 433-nucleotide ribosomal RNA is filed under the name uncultured bacterium. RNAcentral's name for it is "partial 16S ribosomal RNA". It matches the Rfam family "Bacterial small subunit ribosomal RNA", at positions 29 to 507 of the family's 1533-position model. The record is from RNAcentral.